CGUGUAGGCGGUCAGGUAAGUGGAAUGUGAAAUGCCCCGGCUCACCCGGGGACCGGCAUCCCAAACUGCCUGGCUUGAGUAUGGGAGAGGAUGGAGGAAUUCCUGGUGUAGCGGUGAAAUGCGUAGAUAUCAGGAGGAACACCGGUGGCGAAGGCGUCCAUCUGGCCCAAUACUGACGCUGAGGCGUGAAAGCUAGGGGAGCAAACGG
RNAcentral lists this ribosomal RNA (208 nucleotides) under uncultured Latescibacterota bacterium. RNAcentral's name for it is "uncultured Latescibacteria bacterium partial 16S ribosomal RNA". It matches the Rfam family "Bacterial small subunit ribosomal RNA", at positions 568 to 775 of the family's 1533-position model. Lineage: Bacteria; Pseudomonadati; Candidatus Latescibacterota. The record is from RNAcentral.